Molecule: ribosomal RNA, 546 nt
Filed under: Kocuria sp.
Lineage: Bacteria; Bacillati; Actinomycetota; Actinomycetes; Micrococcales; Micrococcaceae
Description: bacterial SSU rRNA
Rfam family: Bacterial small subunit ribosomal RNA
Source: RNAcentral
CGGGUCUAAUACUGGAUACGACCUUCCACCGCAUGGUGGGGGGUGGAAAGGGUUUUACUGGUUUUGGAUGGGCUCACGGCCUAUCAGCUUGUUGGUGGGGUAAUGGCUCACCAAGGCGACGACGGGUAGCCGGCCUGAGAGGGUGACCGGCCACACUGGGACUGAGACACGGCCCAGACUCCUACGGGAGGCAGCAGUGGGGAAUAUUGCACAAUGGGCGAAAGCCUGAUGCAGCGACGCCGCGUGAGGGAUGACGGCCUUCGGGUUGUAAACCUCUUUCAGUAGGGAAGAAGCGCAAGUGACGGUACCUGCAGAAGAAGCGCCGGCUAACUACGUGCCAGCAGCCGCGGUAAUACGUAGGGCGCAAGCGUUGUCCGGAAUUAUUGGGCGUAAAGAGCUCGUAGGCGGUUUGUCGCGUCCGCUGUGAAAGCCCGGGGCUCAACCCCGGGUCGGCAGUGGGUACGGGCAGACUAGAGUGCAGUAGGGGAGACUGGAAUUCCUGGUGUAGCGGUGAAAUGCGCAGAUAUCAGGAGGAACACCGAUGGC